Molecule: long non-coding RNA, 1333 nt
Organism: Lynx canadensis (Canada lynx)
Lineage: Eukaryota; Metazoa; Chordata; Mammalia; Carnivora; Felidae
Exons: 3
Source: RefSeq, a predicted model, not a curated record
GUGACUCUUUAGGUCACCAUCUCUCUUCCUCCUGCAAAUGCUGCAUGGCACUAAGCUUACCAGGAUCUAGAAGCAAACUACAAAAUAAGAAGAAAUUCUCUCUGAAGACUAUGAAGAAACAUUAGGCUGAUCUUCCCAAUUUCUGAAGUAUACUCUGUAAAAACUCCACUGAUUCUAUGAAUCUCUGGCAAAAACAACCAGACCAGGACAAAGUUCAACAGAUAACUGGUUAGUGUUUAGACAUGUCUAUGUCUACCAAGAACAAGGAACCAUAAAAGGCACUAAUGCUAUGAUUCAGGGAUAACAGAUGCUGACAUUAUCAAAUGCCAUGGCCUCUCCUUGCCCCGAUAUGGCCAGUGUAUGAAACUGCACUGCCAUCCAAAAGCACACUUGAGCAACUGGAUCUGCUAACCAGCUCCCAUAUAACCAGUAAAAAUAGAAGUCAGUUUUAUUGCUAUCUUCAGCACUUAAGUCUACGCAAUUUAACACCUGUUUCAUUUCUAUUAGAAUAAAUGGAAAGAGUCGUAGUUACAUUAAUUUCACCAGCAGCAUGAUACUUAACAACCAACAGAUGCACAAUAUACGUAAUAUGAGAAUUGUUUAAAUAUUGCCUGAAUUAGUGUUGACCUUCUCCCAGUUUAGUUCAAAACAUUAACUGUUUCUUUACUCUGCAUUUCACUGAAAGUACUUAAUUCAUUACUUUAUAGGCCAACUAUAAUUUCUCAAACUUUUAUUUUUGCAAGUAUAUUUCAGAGGAUAUCCCCUCCCUGAUUCUGAAAUGCAACACUGAAAUCACAUUAUAGCAAAAAUCUGCUCUACUGACUUUUAAAGGAUUACUUACCUGAUUUUAAUAUUCAAGUUCACUGAUUAUAGCUGUACACCAAAAGUCAAUGUAUUAUUAAGCUGAUAAUGGAAGUAACUAGGCAAUCUGUACGCAAAAUGAUAGAGAAUUCCGCAGGGGAAACAGACUUGAAAAGGGUUACAUUACUAACCUAGGAUUAGUAACACUACAUAAGCAAAAACAAAGAAAAAAGCUGGCAUGCAUGGUAGUGCCUUUCAACACAAGUCCAAGCAAUACAGUGAAUACACAUGUGAUCUAUUUAUAAACCAAAGGGCAGAGGUACUUUCUUAAGGCCACUCAUAUUCCUCCAUCCCUUCCCUGUCAGCAACUUGCUAUUAGUCCCAAGUAUAAUACUGAAGGAGCCACAGUAGAAAGGUAUGACUUUAGUGCUCUUCCCUAUUAGCUUAUUCACUUGGUUCAGUGCCUACAAACAGAAAAUAGUACUCUGAAAUACAUCAAGGUCUAUUUGUUCCUUUAAAUGCUGUUGGUUUU